CGGAUCCGACGGUGAGGGACGAAGCCGUGGGUCGCAAACGGGAUUAGAUACCCCGGUAGUCCAGGGUGUAAACGCUGCAGACUUGGUGUUGGGGGCCCUACGGGGGCGUUCAGUGCCGGAGAGAAGUUGUUAAGUCUGCUACUUGGGGAGUACGUCCGCAAGGAUGAAACUUAAAGGAAUUGGCGGGGGAGCACCGCAACGGGAGGAGCGUGCGGUUUAAUUGGAUUCAACACCGGAAAACUCACCAGCGGCGACUGUUACAUGAAAGUCAGGCCGAUGACCUUACUAGAUUUUCAGAGAGGUGGUGCAUGGCCGUCGUCAGUUCGUACCGUAAGGCGUUCUCUUAAGUGAGAUAACGAACGAGACCCUCACCAAUAGUUGCUACCCAGUCCUCCGGGGCUGGGGCACACUAUUGGGACCGCUGGCGCUAAGUCAGAGGAAGGAGAGGUCAACGGUAGGUCAGUAUGCCCCGAAUCUGCUGGGCUACACGCGCGCUACAAAGGGCGGGACAAUGGGCUCCGACACCGAAAGGUGAAGGUAAUCCCGAAACCCGUCCGUAGUUCGGAUUGAGGGUUGUAACUCGCCCUCAUGAAGCUGGAUUCCGUAGUAAUCGCGAAUCAACAACUCGCGGUGAAUAUGCCCCUGCUCCUUGCACACACCG
This 661-nucleotide ribosomal RNA is filed under the name uncultured methanogenic archaeon. RNAcentral describes it as "bacterial SSU rRNA". It matches the Rfam family "Archaeal small subunit ribosomal RNA", at positions 686 to 1348 of the family's 1478-position model. The record is from RNAcentral. Lineage: Archaea; Methanobacteriati; Methanobacteriota.